UACGGGGGGAGCAAGCGUUGUUCGGAUUUACUGGGCGUAAAGGGCGCGUAGGCGGCCAGCACAAGUCAGUUGUGAAAUCUCCGAGCUUAACUCGGAAAGGUCAACUGAUACUGUGCGGCUAGAGUGCGGAAGGGGCAACUGGAAUUCUUGGUGUAGCGGUGAAAUGCGUAGAUAUCAAGAGGAACACCGACGGCGAAGGCAGCUCGCUGGGACGGUACUGACGCUGAGGCGCGAAAGCGUGGGGAGCGAACAGG
This 254-nucleotide ribosomal RNA is filed under the name uncultured bacterium. RNAcentral describes it as "partial 16S ribosomal RNA". It matches the Rfam family "Bacterial small subunit ribosomal RNA", at positions 524 to 776 of the family's 1533-position model. The record is from RNAcentral.